GAAGUGAAUAAGGGCUUAUAGAGGAUACCUAGGCAUUUAGAAGCGAUGAAGGACGUGGCUACCGACGAAACGCUUAGGGGAGCUGGAAGCAAGCUUUGAUCCUGAGAUCUCCGAAUGAGGAAACUUCCUAGAACUUCUCAAGGAAUACAUACUUGAGGGUAGAGCAAACCUGGAUAAUUGAAACAUCUUAUUAACCAGAGGAAAAGAAAGUAAAAACGAUUCCCUUAGUAGCGGCGAGCGAAACGGGAUGAGCCUAAACUAAUUUACAAAUUAGGGUAGUGGGAAAACCAACAUGCAUUAAAAAUCUAAGUUAGAUCAAUCCUUCGGAAUAAGGAACCAUAGAAAGUGAUAGUCUUGUAAUCAAAAACUUAAGAAUAAUGAGGUUUUAUCCCGAGUAGCAUGGAGCACGUGAAAUUCCGUGUGAAUCUGCGAGGACCACCUCGUAAGGCUAAAUAUUCCUAAAUGACCGAUAGAGAAAGUACCGCGAGGGAAAGGUGAAAAGAACCCCGUAAGGGGAGUGAAAUAGAACAUGAAACUGUAAGCUUACAAGCAGUAGGAGGACGACUUAACGUCUGACUGCGUGCCUGUUGAAGAAUGAGCCGGCGACUUAUAAGUAAUGGCAGGUUAAUUUUAGGAGCCAUAGCGAAAGCGAGUCUGAAUAGGGCGUUUGUCGUUGCUUAUAGACCCGAACCCGGAUGAUCUAACCAUGGCCAGGUUGAAGCUUAGGUAAAAUCAAGUGGAGGACCGAACCGACUGAUGUUGAAAAAUCAGCGGAUGAGUUGUGGUUAGGGGUGAAAUGCCAAUCGAAUCCGGAGCUAGCUGGUUCUCCCCGAAAUGUGUUUAGGCGCAGCGGUUAAUGUUUAAAUUUAGGGGUAAAGCACUGUUUCGUUGCGGGCUGGUAAUACGGUACCAAUUCGAGGCAAACUAAGAAUACUAAAUUGCAUAAUUAAUCAGUAAGACCGUGGGGGAUAAGCUCCAUUGUCAAGAGGGAAACAGCCCAGACCAUCAGUUAAGGCCCCUAAAAAUUACUAAGUGCAAAAGGUGGUGGGAGUACAUAAACAACCAGGAGGUUUGCUUAGAAGCAGCAAUCCUUUAAAGAGUGCGUAAUAGCUCACUGGUCGAGUAAACCUGC
RNAcentral lists this ribosomal RNA (1132 nucleotides) under uncultured eukaryote. RNAcentral describes it as "partial Bacterial large subunit ribosomal RNA". It matches the Rfam family "Bacterial large subunit ribosomal RNA", at positions 1 to 1162 of the family's 2925-position model. The record is from RNAcentral.